Molecule: ribosomal RNA, 1453 nt
Filed under: uncultured bacterium
Lineage: Bacteria
Description: bacterial SSU rRNA
Rfam family: Bacterial small subunit ribosomal RNA
Source: RNAcentral
AACGAACGCUGGCGGCGUGGAUAAGACAUGCAAGUCGAACGAGGAACUGAAGAGCUUGCUUUGAAGUUCCUAGUGGCGGACGGGUUAGUAACGCGUGAGCAACUUGCCUUAAAGUGGGGGAUAGUCCUGGGAAACUGGGUUUAAUACCGCAUGUGCCCUGAGGGGUAAAGCAGCUUUUGCUGUGCUUUAAGAUAGGCUCGCGUCCCAUCAGCUAGUUGGUGAGGUAAUGGCUCACCAAGGCGACGACGGGUAGCUGGUCUGAGAGGAUGAUCAGCAACACUGGAACUGAGACACGGUCCAGACACCUACGGGUGGCAGCAGUCGAGAAUCAUUCACAAUGGGGGAAACCCUGAUGGUGCAACGCCGCGUGGAGGAUGAAGGCCCUAGGGUUGUAAACUCCUGUCAUCAGAGAGUAAGGCAUGGGUGAGGAAAUGCAUCCAUGUUUGAUAGUAUCUGAAGAGGAAGGGACGGCUAACUUCGUGCCAGCAGCCGCGGUAAUACGAAGGUCCCAAGCGUUGUUCGGAAUCACUGGGCGUAAAGGGAGCGUAGGCGGUUAGGUAAGUCAGAUGUGAAAUCCCGGGGCUCAACCCCGGAACUGCAUCCGAUACUGCCUGACUAGAGUAUUGGAGAGGAAAGUGGAAUUCUCGGUGUAGCAGUGAAAUGCGUAGAUAUCGAGAGGAACACCAAUGGCGAAGGCAACUUUCUGGACAAUAACUGACGCUGAGGCUCGAAGGCUAGGGUAGCGAAAGGGAUUAGAUACCCCCUGUAGUCCUAGCAGUAAACGUUGCGCGCUUGGUGUGGGUGGGUUCGACCCCAUCCGUGCCGGAGCUAACGCGUUAAGCGCGCCGCCUGGGGAGUACGGUCGCAAGACUAAAACUCAAAGAAAUUGACGGGGACCCGCACAAGCGGUGGAGUAUGUGGCUUAAUUCGAUGCAACGCGAAGAACCUUACCUAGGCUUGACAUGUAUCGCUAAUCUGCUGAAAGGCAGUGAGCUUUCGAGCACCUUACACAGGUGCUGCAUGGCCGUCGUCAGCUCGUGUCGUGAGAUGUUCGGUUAAGUCCGGCAACGAGCGCAACCCCUGUGGUUAGUUACCAGCACGUAAUGGUGGGAACUCUAGCCAGACUGCCCAGAUCAACUGGGAGGAAGGUGGGGAUGACGUCAGGUCAGUAUGGCCCUUACGCCUAGGGCUGCACACGUACUACAAUGCUCAGUACAAUGAGAACCGAUCCCGCGAGGAGGAGGAAAUCUAUAAAACUGGGCUCAGUUCGGAUUGUAGGCUGCAACUCGCCUACAUGAAGCUGGAAUCGCUAGUAAUGGCACAUCAGCUACGGUGCCGUGAAUACGUUCCCGGGUCUUGUACACACCGCCCGUCACAUCAUGGAAGCCGAUCGCACCCGAAGUAUCUGCGUCAACAUAGACAGGGUCCUAAGGUGUAGUUGGUAACUGGGAUG